This 468-nucleotide ribosomal RNA is filed under the name uncultured bacterium. Its description in RNAcentral is "partial 16S ribosomal RNA". It matches the Rfam family "Bacterial small subunit ribosomal RNA", at positions 28 to 507 of the family's 1533-position model. The record is from RNAcentral.
GAUGAACGCUGGCGGCGUGCUUAACACAUGCAAGUCGAACGGAAAGGCCAGUGCUUGCCCUGGUACUCGAGUGGCGAACGGGUGAGUAACACGUGGGUGAUCUGCCCUGCACUUCGGGAUAAGCCUGGGAAACUGGGUCUAAUACCGGAUAGGACAAUGGUUUGGAUGCCGUUGUGGAAAGUUUUUUCGGUGUGGGAUGAGCUCGCGGCCUAUCAGCUUGUUGGUGGGGUAAUGGCCUACCAAGGCGUCGACGGGUAGCCGGCCUGGGAGGGUGUACGGCGACAUUGGGACUGGGAUACGGCCCAGACUCCUACGGGAGGCAGCAGUGGGGAAUAUUGCACAAUGGGCGCAAGCCUGAUGCAGCGACGCCGCGUGGGGGAUGACGGCCUUCGGGUUGUAAACUCCUUUCGCUAGGGACGAAGCGUAUUUGUGACGGUACCUGGAGAAGAAGCACCGGCUAACUACGUG